AGCAGCCGCGGUAAUUCCAGCUCCAAUAGCGUAUAUUAAAGUUGUUGCAGUUAAAAAGCUCGUAGUUGAACUUCAGACCUGGCUGGGUGGUCCGCCUCACGGCGUGUACUAUUCGGCUGGGCCUUACCUCUUGGUGAACCGGCGUGCCCUUUAUUGGCGUGCGUCGGGGAACCAGGACUUUUACCUUGAGAAAAU
Molecule: ribosomal RNA, 195 nt
Filed under: uncultured Glomeromycotina
Lineage: Eukaryota; Fungi; Glomeromycota
Description: partial 18S ribosomal RNA
Rfam family: Eukaryotic small subunit ribosomal RNA
Source: RNAcentral